AUUUAUUUCUUAGUCUAAUAUCUCAAUUAGUAGCAUUUCUUUCUGCAGUUUAAAGUAGUACAUUUUUUCCCCCGACACAAAAGGCAAUCUGAAACAAAGUUGACAGCCCAUGCACCCUUCAACACCUUUACAUGUUUCAUUUGAUUGCUCCUUGAUGAUCGCCCACACUGCCAAAUUAUAACCAAAAAAUGCUAUCCAGAACAGCAAAUUAAAUGCAGAAUUCAACAGCCAACUAUACUCAGGAACGUAAUUUUUUUUCCUUUUCACAGAAGAAAAUGUAAUACGAUCAUGUUCAAAUUUGAGUUAAAAGAAGCAUAUAAAUUCAUUAAAAAAAUUAAAAUAAAUUGAAGAUAUUUGUAUACGACACAUGUAUGUAUUUCAAGGUUUGAGAAAGUGACCUUAGAAGUGGGAAGGGCUGGUAUAAAUAUAUUCUGCUUAAAAUGGGCCAAGUUUUAUUGGUUUAGUGAGGAAAUGGAGGGUUAUUUUUCCCAUGUUUAGAAAUCAAUCAUCCCCUGUAAUUAAGGCAUGGGAAAUUGAAGGUGGUUAUGGGUCCAUCCAUCACAUGCAUCUCCUGCCCUUUGCUUUGCAUGAUUGCAGACUACUACAUUGUUUUUUUAUCUUUCUUAUUCACCAUAUAUAUAACUACCAAUAAUCAAGUGUCACAUGGUACUUAUGUGAGCUCUCACCUCAUCUAACCCAAAACAUUAAUGGAAUUAAUUAAAAUCCAAAUCAACUUGCCUCCUCCACUUUUGUAAAAAUGUUCCCAUUUUGAAUGAUCCUUUUAACUCAUUCUCUCCCAUUUU
This 803-nucleotide long non-coding RNA is filed under the name Gossypium raimondii (Peruvian cotton). RNAcentral's name for it is "long non-coding RNA (GRAI_LNC006968)". Lineage: Eukaryota; Viridiplantae; Streptophyta; Magnoliopsida; Malvales; Malvaceae. The record is from RNAcentral.